RNAcentral lists this ribosomal RNA (482 nucleotides) under uncultured bacterium. RNAcentral's name for it is "partial 16S ribosomal RNA". It matches the Rfam family "Bacterial small subunit ribosomal RNA", at positions 29 to 507 of the family's 1533-position model. The record is from RNAcentral.
AGUGAACGCUGGCGGCAGGCCUAACACAUGCAAGUCGAGCGGCAGCGGGUCCUUCGGGAUGCCGGCGAGCGGCGGACGGGUGAGGAAUGCGUCGGAAUCUGCCUUUUUGUGGGGGAUAACGUAGGGAAACUUACGCUAAUACCGCAUACGACCUACGGGUGAAAGUGGGGGACCGCAAGGCCUCACGCAGAAAGAUGAGCCGACGUCGGAUUAGCUAGUUGGCGGGGUAAAGGCCCACCAAGGCGACGAUCCGUAGCUGGUCUGAGAGGAUGAUCAGCCACACUGGAACUGAGACACGGUCCAGACUCCUACGGGAGGCAGAAGUGGGGAAUAUUGGACAAUGGGCGCAAGCCUGAUCCAGCCAUGCCGCGUGUGAAGAAGGCCUUCGGGUUGUAAAGCACUUUUGUCCGGAAAGAAAUCCUGUCGGCUAAUACCCGGCGGGGAUGACGGUACCGGAAGAAUAAGCACCGGCUAACUUCGUG